AAACUCAAAGGAAUUGACGGGGAGCACCACAACCGGUGGAGCCUGCGGUUUAAUCGGACUCAACGCCGGGAAACUCACCAGAUAAGACAGCUGAAUGAUAGUCGGGCUGAAGACUUUGCCGGAUUAGCUGAGAGGUGGUGCAUGGCCGUCGUCAGUUCGUACUGUGAAGCAUCCUGUUAAGUCAGGCAACGAGCGAGACCCACGCCCACAGUUGCCAGCGUACUCUCCGGAGUGACGGGUACACUGUGGGGACCGCCGCUGCUAAAGCGGAGGAAGGAAUGGGCAACGGUAGGUCAGUAUGCCCCGAAUAUCCCGGGCUACACGCGAGCUACAAUGGUUGGUACAAUGGGUAUCUACCCCGAAAGGGGAUGGAAAUCUCCUAAAGCCAAUCUUAGUCCGGAUUGAGGGCUGCAACUCGCCCUCAUGAAGCUGGAAUCCGUAGUAAUCGCGUUUCAACAGAACGCGGUGAAUACGUCCCUGCUCCUU
This 486-nucleotide ribosomal RNA is filed under the name uncultured Methanolinea sp. RNAcentral describes it as "bacterial SSU rRNA". It matches the Rfam family "Archaeal small subunit ribosomal RNA", at positions 852 to 1338 of the family's 1478-position model. The record is from RNAcentral. Lineage: Archaea; Methanobacteriati; Methanobacteriota; Methanomicrobia; Methanomicrobiales; Methanoregulaceae.